GCUCACUGCGGGUAUCACGUUGCCAAGGGAACUAAUAAAGCAUACAGUGAUCGGAAUGAUUUUGUAUUGAUGCAGGUUGUCAUUGCUCAUGCUGAACUACUUAAACUCCAAGUAGACAAUCGCUCCAUUCCUCAUUACCAUAGAUAAUAUCUAAGUAAUAAAACAAUCAUUAUCAAAUUCUGAUUUGCCAUAGAUAAAGUGAUUUUAUAGGUAGGCUAUCAUGUAAAAAUCUGCUACAUAAAAUUUAUAACUGAGUGUAAAAAUACUUAUUUCAUUUUCAUGUGGUUUAGAGGUCAGCUAUGGAUACUCGGCUGCGAGAAUUCUUAACAGAGCGUAAAGCUGAAGAAAAUGUGAUCAAGAAACUUGAAGAUGAGAAUAUUGAUGAAACUGUCAUUCCCUUAAUGACAGACAAUGACCUGGCAAAGUACAUCCCCAAAGUUGGCGAUAGAGUCUCCACUGUGGCCUUCUGCAGACAAGCAACACUGUCACAGACGUCACCAUCCAGGAAAGAAUCUAUACUCUCAAGGCUACGACAAAGACUGACAGGAGCUGAGGGGAUGCCUCCUAAAAAGAAAUUGUCUCAGUGGGCAGAAAAUACAAAUGCAAAACAAACAGUGAGACGAAUUGA
Molecule: long non-coding RNA, 628 nt
Organism: Haplochromis burtoni (Burton's mouthbrooder)
Lineage: Eukaryota; Metazoa; Chordata; Actinopteri; Cichliformes; Cichlidae
Exons: 2
Source: RefSeq, a predicted model, not a curated record